AUGCUGCUAUCAGAAGGAAAUCAGAGUAUCAUAGCCAUGUUUAUUCUGCUGGGUUUUUCAGAAUAUCCAGAACUCCAGGUCCCAUUUUUCCUUGUUUUCUUGUCUAUCUACAUGGUCACUGUGGUAGGGAAUUUAGGCAUGAUCAUAAUCAUCAAGGUCAAUUCAAAACUCCACACGAUCAUGUACUUUUUCCUUAGUCACUUGUCCUUUGUCAAUUUCUGUUUUUCUACUGUAGUUACACCCAAACUGUUGGAGAAUUGAUUGUGGAGGACAGAACCAUUUCUUUCUCUGGUUGCAUUGCACAAUUUUGUUUCACUUGCCUAUUUGGUGUAGCAGAAACGUUCAUGUUAGCAGCAAUUACCUAUGACUGCUUUGUGGCAGUCUGCAACCCCUUGCUCUAUGCCACUGCGAUGCAUUGUGCUCUCUUGGUGGCUGGCUCUUUCUCAUGGGGUGUAGUGUGCUCCAUGACACACAUAUUUUCUUCUUGCAUUAUCCUAUUGCAAGUCUAGCACCAUAAAUAAUUUUAUCUGUAACCACUCUGUAAUUAUUUCUGUCUCUUGCUCAGAUCCCUGUAUCGGUCAGAUGUUAUGUUCUAUUGCCAUUUUCAAUGAGGCAACCAGCCUGGUGAUUAUUCUGAUGUCCUAUAUACUCAUUUUUAUCACUGUUAUGAGGAUGCCUUCUGCAAGUGGGCACUGGAAAACCUUCUCCACCUGUGCUUCCCACCUGACAGCCAUGAGCAUCUUCCAUGGAACCAUCCUUUUCCUUUACUGCAUCCCUAAUCCGAAAACUUCUUGGCUCACAGUCAAAGUGACUUCUGUGUUUUACACAGUAGUGAUUCCUAUGCUGAACCCCUUGAUCUACAGCUUGAGGAACAAAGAAGUAAAAAAUACAUUCAUAAGAUUAAUUUUCACAAAAUCACUUUGUCAC
Molecule: long non-coding RNA, 927 nt
Filed under: Bos taurus (domestic cattle)
Lineage: Eukaryota; Metazoa; Chordata; Mammalia; Artiodactyla; Bovidae
Description: long non-coding RNA NONBTAT014801
Source: RNAcentral